CUGCUGCCUCCCGUAGGAGUUUGGGCCGUGUCUCAGUCCCAAUGUGGCCGUCCACCCUCUCAGGCCGGCUACUGAUCGUCGCCUUGGUGGGCCUUUACCCCACCAACCAGCUAAUCAGACGCGGGCCCAUCUUGCACCACCGGAAUUUUUCACACCGGACCAUGCGGCCCUGUGCGCUUAUGCGGUAUUAGCACCUAUUUCUAAGUGUUAUCCCCCAGUGCAAGGCAGGUUACCCACGCGUUACUCACCCGUCCGCCACUAAAG
This 264-nucleotide ribosomal RNA is filed under the name uncultured bacterium. Its description in RNAcentral is "partial 16S ribosomal RNA". The record is from RNAcentral.